Non-coding RNA from Rattus norvegicus (Norway rat), 633 nucleotides. NCBI's taxonomy places the organism in Eukaryota, Metazoa, Chordata, Mammalia, Rodentia, Muridae. The record is from RefSeq and is a predicted model, not a curated record.
CCCACAGUCAAACAUUAGAUGUAGCUUGGGAAGUAUUUUUCAAAUGUUGGGGGAAUCAUUGAGAAAACCAGAGGGGAGAGGGACUUUGCAGGAAGACUAACAGAGUCAAAUAAUCUGGACAUUGGGGGGUUGCAGAGACUGAACCACCGAUCAAAGAAAAUACAAGGACUGAACCUAGAAAAUAAUAAAUCAAUGUUGAAUAUACAUCUAACAAUCAUGUCAAAAAGCCCAAUGAUCCCAAUGCUCACAGAGGCAUCUAUUUGAGCCCAUUCUACUUUGAAAGCAUAAAGACAAAGAAGGUGCCCAGAAGAUAAACUGAUGGUUCUGGGUAAGUGUCCUGAAAACUAGUUAGACAGGUAAAAGUUCCCCACUGAAAAUAGACAUCAAGCUGGAAUAAUUGUCCUGAAAAUUCUUCCCACAUGUAGAAGUUAUAAAUAAACCAAAUCUAACCUUUUAAAAACUAUGUCUGUUACUAAAGUUUUGGUUUUAAAAUUCUGAGAAAUCAUUUAUCCUCCUUGGUAAUUUUCUCUCAUCUUGGAUAAAUAAUUCCAAAUUACCUGCUUAGUACUCAAGCAUUUCUGCUCUUUCUGAAACAGUUCUUGUUAAAUAUUCAAAGUUGAGUUACCCCUUACC